Molecule: transfer RNA, 74 nt
Filed under: Actinomycetota bacterium
Lineage: Bacteria; Bacillati; Actinomycetota
Description: tRNA-Thr
Rfam family: tRNA
About the family: Transfer RNA (tRNA) molecules are approximately 80 nucleotides in length. Their secondary structure includes four short double-helical elements and three loops (D, anti-codon, and T loops). Further hydrogen bonds mediate the characteristic L-shaped molecular structure. tRNAs have two regions of fundamental functional importance: the anti-codon, which is responsible for specific mRNA codon recognition, and the 3' end, to which the tRNAs corresponding amino acid is attached (by aminoacyl-tRNA synthetases). tRNAs cope with the degeneracy of the genetic code in two manners: having more than one tRNA (with a specific anti-codon) for a particular amino acid; and 'wobble' base-pairing, i.e. permitting non-standard base-pairing at the 3rd anti-codon position.
Source: RNAcentral
GCCGGGUUAGCUCAGUUCGGUAGAGCAGGGCUCUUGUAAAGCUCAGGCCGUCGGUUCGAAUCCGACACCCGGCU